GACGAACGCUGGCGGCGUGCCUAAUACAUGCAAGUCGAACGCUUUUUCUUUCACCGGAGCUUGCUCCACCGAAAGAAAAAGAGUGGCGAACGGGUGAGUAACACGUGGGUAACCUGCCCAUCAGAAGGGGAUAACACUUGGAAACAGGUGCUAAUACCGUAUAACACUAUUUUCCGCAUGGAAGAAAGUUGAAAGGCGCUUUUGCGUCACUGAUGGAUGGACCCGCGGUGCAUUAGCUAGUUGGUGAGGUAACGGCUCACCAAGGCAACGAUGCAUAGCCGACCUGAGAGGGUGAUCGGCCACACUGGGACUGAGACACGGCCCAGACUCCUACGGGAGGCAGCAGUAGGGAAUCUUCGGCAAUGGACGAAAGUCUGACCGAGCAACGCCGCGUGAGUGAAGAAGGUUUUCGGAUCGUAAAACUCUGUUGUUAGAGAAGAACAAGGAUGAGAGUAAAACGUUCAUCCC
This 468-nucleotide ribosomal RNA is filed under the name Enterococcus casseliflavus. RNAcentral's name for it is "bacterial SSU rRNA". It matches the Rfam family "Bacterial small subunit ribosomal RNA", at positions 28 to 468 of the family's 1533-position model. Lineage: Bacteria; Bacillati; Bacillota; Bacilli; Lactobacillales; Enterococcaceae. The record is from RNAcentral.